GUUGACCUCGGAUCAAGUAGGGAUA
This 25-nucleotide ribosomal RNA is filed under the name Microcyclospora malicola. RNAcentral's name for it is "partial 28S ribosomal RNA". The record is from RNAcentral. RNAcentral also lists the same sequence under 2 other names. Lineage: Eukaryota; Fungi; Ascomycota; Dothideomycetes; Capnodiales.